UACCAGCACCCCGAGUGGUCGGGACGAUUAUUGGGCCUAAAGCAUCCGUAGCCGGUCUUGCAAGUCUUCCGUUAAAUCCAGCUGCUUAACAGAUGGGCUGCGGAGGAUACCACGAGGCUAGGAGGCGGGAGAGGCAAGCGGUACUCAGUGGGUAGGGGUAAAAUCCAUUGAUCUACUGAAGACCACCAGUGGCGAAGGCGGUUUGCCAGAACGCGCUCGACGGUGAGGGAUGAAAGCUGGGGGAGCAAACCGG
RNAcentral lists this ribosomal RNA (253 nucleotides) under uncultured bacterium. RNAcentral describes it as "partial 16S ribosomal RNA". It matches the Rfam family "Archaeal small subunit ribosomal RNA", at positions 474 to 727 of the family's 1478-position model. The record is from RNAcentral.